Molecule: ribosomal RNA, 253 nt
Filed under: uncultured bacterium
Lineage: Bacteria
Description: partial 16S ribosomal RNA
Rfam family: Bacterial small subunit ribosomal RNA
Source: RNAcentral
UACGUAGGGUGCAAGCGUUAAUCGGAAUUACUGGGCGUAAAGCGUGCGCAGGCGGUGAUGUAAGACAGUUGUGAAAUCCCCGGGCUCAACCUGGGAACUGCAUUUGUGACUGCACAGCUUGAGUGCGGCAGAGGGGGAUGGAAUUCCGCGUGUAGCAGUGAAAUGCGUAGAUAUGCGGAGGAACACCGAUGGCGAAGGCAAUCUCCUGGGCCUGCACUGACGCUCAUGCACGAAAGCGUGGGGAGCAAACAGG